Molecule: ribosomal RNA, 492 nt
Filed under: uncultured bacterium
Lineage: Bacteria
Description: partial 16S ribosomal RNA
Rfam family: Bacterial small subunit ribosomal RNA
Source: RNAcentral
AGUGAACGCUGGCGGUAUGCCUAACACAUGCAAGUCGAACGGCAGCACAGUAAGAGCUUGCUCUUACGGGUGGCGAGUGGCGGACGGGUGAGGAAUACAUCGGAAUCUACUUUUUCGUGGGGGAUAACGUAGGGAAACUUACGCUAAUACCGCAUACGACCUACGGGUGAAAGCAGGGGAUCUUCGGACCUUUCGCGAUUGAAUGAGCCGAUGUCGGAUUAGCUAGUUGGCGGGGUAAAGGCCCACCAAGGCGACGAUCCGUAGCUGGUCUGAGAGGAUGAUCAGCCACACUGGAACUGAGACACGGUCCAGACUCCUACGGGAGGCAGCAGUGGGGAAUAUUGGACAAUGGGCGAAAGCCUGAUCCAGCCAUACCGCGUGGGUGAAGAAGGCCUUCGGGUUGUAAAGCCCUUUUGUUGGGAAAGAAAAGCAGCAGGUUAAUACCCCGCUGUUCUGACGGUACCCAAAGAAUAAGCACCGGCUAACUUCGUG